AAAUAUUCUCAUCAAUUUUUUAAUUGAUUUGAGAUUUAUUUGAGAUUUUAGUUCAAUUAGGUUAUUUUUAUGCAUUUUAAAUUGAUUAAAAAUAGUUUCUGACUUUUAAAAAUGCUGAAUUUUUUUUGUCAAACUUUGUUUGACCUUGUUGAACUUAGGAUAAAUCACUUGGACUUUUCAAGGUUGAUUUGAAUUGAUUUUGAAGUUUGACCUUUU
RNAcentral lists this long non-coding RNA (216 nucleotides) under Lathyrus oleraceus (garden pea). RNAcentral's name for it is "Pisum sativum (pea) long non-coding RNA (PSAT_LNC008171)". Lineage: Eukaryota; Viridiplantae; Streptophyta; Magnoliopsida; Fabales; Fabaceae. The record is from RNAcentral.